Molecule: long non-coding RNA, 233 nt
Filed under: Betta splendens (Siamese fighting fish)
Lineage: Eukaryota; Metazoa; Chordata; Actinopteri; Anabantiformes; Osphronemidae
Description: lncRNA (ENSBSLG00000010336.1)
Source: RNAcentral
UUUACCCAAAGGGUUAUUCUAUUUAAAGACAUUACUGCUGCAUCGCCUCUAUAUUUUACAAGAUAAUACUUCGCAUACAGGAUGUGCUCCUGAAACUCCCCAGAUGAAUGUUUGGCCUCCAACAAAGCCUUCGAGGGCUAAGCUGCAGGACUUCAACCGCCUUCAGCACGACUUAAACGUCUUCCUUCAUGAUCCUACGCAGCCGAAGCAGCACCAGCGUUGAGAGAGGCCAC